CGGCUCCAAUAGCGUAUAUUAAAGUUGUUGCAGUUAAAAAGCUCGUAGUUGGAUCUAGGGACGCGCAUUUCAAGCGCCCGUGUCGUUGGGUCAAACCAGCGACUGCGUUGGCGUUGCGGGCUCGGUCCGUCGGUGCCACAAAGCAUCGGCGUGUCAACCGGCCCGCCCGUCCCCUCCUUCUGGAUUCCCGUUCCUGCUAUUGAGUUAGUGGGGACGUCACAGGGGGCCCAUCGUGCAAACGGCGGCGGUGGGUCCCUGGGGCCCAUCGUUUACCGUGAAAAAAUUAGAGUGUUCAAAGCAGGCAGAUCCAAUUUUCUGCCACCGAAUACAUUAGCAUGGGAUAAUGGAAUAGGACCCUGUCCUCCUAUUUUCAGUUGGUUUUGGCAGUGCGAGGACUAGGGUAAUGAUUAAUAGGGAUAGUUGGGGGCAUUAAUAUUUAAUUGUCAGAGGUGAAAUUCUUGGAUUUAUGAAAGAUUAACUU
This 481-nucleotide ribosomal RNA is filed under the name Acanthamoeba sp. Its description in RNAcentral is "SSU rRNA". It matches the Rfam family "Eukaryotic small subunit ribosomal RNA", at positions 586 to 942 of the family's 1831-position model. Lineage: Eukaryota; Discosea; Longamoebia; Acanthamoebidae. The record is from RNAcentral.